CUCCGCCCCGGACUUCAUCCGCUCUGCGUCCUUCGGGGGGGUUUAAACCCGCGCCGCCUCUAUCUCUAGCGCCUAUAAAAGCCGCCGCCCCCUCCCGGUCUCCUCCACCAGCACCCGCGCCCCAAACCCUAGCCGCCACAAGCUCAAGCGCUGCCGUCGCUUCCCCGCCGUCGUCCGCCGCCUCCGGUGAGCACCCGCCGACGAGGACCCCCAAAAC
RNAcentral lists this long non-coding RNA (217 nucleotides) under Setaria viridis. RNAcentral describes it as "long non-coding RNA (SVIR_LNC009603)". The record is from RNAcentral. Lineage: Eukaryota; Viridiplantae; Streptophyta; Magnoliopsida; Poales; Poaceae.